RNAcentral lists this ribosomal RNA (492 nucleotides) under uncultured bacterium. Its description in RNAcentral is "partial 16S ribosomal RNA". It matches the Rfam family "Bacterial small subunit ribosomal RNA", at positions 28 to 507 of the family's 1533-position model. The record is from RNAcentral.
GAUGAACGCUAGCUAUAGGCUUAACACAUGCAAGUCGAGGGGAAACGGCAUUAUGUGCUUGCACAUUUUGGACGUCGACCGGCGCACGGGUGAGUAUCGCGUAUCCAACCUGCCCUUUACUUGGGGAUACCCCGUUGAAAGACGGCCUAAUACCCGAUGUAAUUCAUUGAUGGCAUCAGAUAUGAAUAAAAGAUUUAUCGGUAAAGGAUGGGGAUGCGUCUGAUUAGCUUGUUGGUGAGGUAACGGCUCACCAAGGCGACGAUCAGUAGGGGUUCUGAGAGGAAGGUCCCCCACAUUGGAACUGAGACACGGUCCAAACUCCUACGGGAGGCAGCAGUGAGGAAUAUUGGUCAAUGGGCGCAAGCCUGAACCAGCCAAGUAGCGUGCAGGAAGACGGCCCUAUGGGUGGUAAACUGCUUUUAGACGAGAAUAAUUUGAUGCACGGGUGCGUUAUUGCAUGUAGCGUAUGAAUAAGGACCGGCUAAUUCCGUG